Scomber scombrus (Atlantic mackerel) is the source of this 1947-nucleotide long non-coding RNA. RefSeq lists it as uncharacterized. Lineage: Eukaryota; Metazoa; Chordata; Actinopteri; Scombriformes; Scombridae. The record is from RefSeq and is a predicted model, not a curated record. The transcript is spliced from 4 exons.
GUGCUUGAAAAGUGUUGACGGAGUGAAAAGAGACUGUGUAUUGAACAAAUUAUCUUACUUUCAUUGUAUAAAAGGUUUUCCUCCUGACUUCUUACAUGACCUGUUAGAAGGUGUUGUACCUUUUGAACUCUGUUUGUGUUUGAAAAAAUUAAUUCAACAGAAGUACUUUACAUUGGACUAUUUGAACACUGUCAUACAGCGCUUCCCCUACAAAUUUUCUGACAGUGUUAACCGUCCACAGAGAAUUCCAGAAAAAGUACUUAAAAGUAAAACUAUAGGAGGCAACGGCCAUGAAAAUUGGACCCUUUUGAGGUUGCUGCCUCUGUUCAUAGGGGAUGUUGUUCCUGAAAAUGAUGAUGCAUGGGCUGUAAUUCUGGAACUUAAAGACAUUGUGGAACUUUUGGCAUCCUCCAGUUUUACAGAUGAAAGCUUGUGUUAUCUUGAUGCCAAAAUAAGUGAGCACAGAAAACUAUUACUGACUGUGUUUCCAGGACUGCAACUGAAACCUAAACAUCAUUUUAUUGAACACUACACUCAUUUGAUCCGCUGCUUUGGACCACUGGUAGAGUUCUGGACGUUACGAUUCGAAGCGAAACAUAGUUUCUUCAAAAAAGUGGUUCGUGAUGUCAAUAAUUUCAAAAACAUUCUAUUGACUCUGUCCCUCAGACAUGAACUUAUGUUGGCAUACUACCUGGACACGCCCAACCUGUUUAAACCAACAGUGGAAUUAAAAGGAGUAUCAAAUAUUUCCCUGGACAUUCUGGCCCCCUCUGUCAAACAAGUGAUUGAGAAGAAAUGUAGAACUCUGAGCAGUGUAUCUCUGGCCACAACCGCAUACAUUCACGGGACAAGAUACACCAAGGGAAUGUUCUUGUCAGUUGGAAGCACAAGUGGCCUUCCUGAUUUUUGUAAGAUUAUACAUGUGUUGCUUGUAUGCAACAAGCUAUUUUUUCUUCUGGAACCUUUCUCAGCUUGGUAUCUGGAGCACCUACGAUGUUACGAAGUCUGCAAGAGAGACCCUACUCAACUGACGGUAGCCGAACCUGAAGACCUGAACCACUACAUCCCAUUGUCAGCAUACACCGUGCACGGCCGACUUCUGGUUUCACCGAAGGCAUUUCCUGUACAUUAAGACGUCAACGACAGAGUACAAGACGGUUCAAGUCUGCAAGAGAGACCCUGCUCAACUGACGGUAGCUGAACCACUUACAUCCCCGUUGUCAGCAUACACUGUGCAAGGCUGACUCGUGGUUUCAGGGAUUUCUUGUACAUUAAGUCAGACGUCAACAACAGAGUACAAGACGGUGCUAGUUCAUCCUGUCCAAGAUCAACUCCAUCGAGCUGAAGAAAACCAGCAGUCACAAGUCCACUUAAGAUCUGUCUGCUUGUGUAGGCCUCUCUCAGUUUCAUCAUGCUGCUGCGCAUCAUCUUGAGCGAAAAUGACAUAAGAAAGGUUACCAUUGACACCUUGCCGGAGACUGUUCAUGACUUCUGCUCAAUCCUGAAGACCAAACUGGGACUGGAGGGCGACCUUGUGAUUCAGUAUCAGGACCCCGAGUUCGACAAUGAACUGUGCAAUUUAAGUAGCAUGUCGGAGCUUCAUAAAGAUAAAGCAACUUUGAAAGUGCACACCAAGUCUUCUGAAUACAACACAGACUCAACUCUAGACACGGCAAGCCUGUCAUCAUCUUCCCUCGAGGAUAGCCCCCAUGGUACCCAAACUCGUCAGCUGCCUCAACCAUUCGUCAUUCCUGCUUUUUCUUUUGAUGUUGAGUUGAAACUGAGGCAAGGGAAUGAUGCCUUCCAUAGAGAUGGGAGCCUUCUUGACAUUUCAAAAGACAUGAAAUCGGACAUCUUAGACAAGUUAGCAGAAGCCAUAUAUGCUCACAAUCCCUACCCAUCACGUGAGGACUAUGAUCAUGUGGCCCAAGCUCUCAUCAACAAGCA